AUCGAACUGACGAGUCCCAAAUAGGACGAAACACGCGUCCAGGAU
Molecule: non-coding RNA, 45 nt
Filed under: Schistosoma mansoni
Lineage: Eukaryota; Metazoa; Platyhelminthes; Trematoda; Strigeidida; Schistosomatidae
Source: RNAcentral